CAGUAGCCGCGGUAAUACGGAGGGAGCUAGCGUUGUUCGGAAUUACUGGGCGUAAAGCGCGCGUAGGCGGUUACUCAAUUCAGAGGUGAAAGCCCGGGGCUCAACCCCGGAACUGCCUUUGAAACUAGGUGACUAGAAUCUUGGAGAGGUCAGUGGAAUUCCGAGUGUAGAGGUGAAAUUCGUAGAUAUUCGGAAGAACACCAGUGGCGAAGGCGACUGACUGGACAAGUAUUGACGCUGAGGUGCGAAAGCGUGGGGAGCAAACAGGAUUAGAUACCCCCGUAGUCCCUGUCCUCUUAUA
This 301-nucleotide ribosomal RNA is filed under the name uncultured bacterium. Its description in RNAcentral is "partial 16S ribosomal RNA". It matches the Rfam family "Bacterial small subunit ribosomal RNA", at positions 509 to 809 of the family's 1533-position model. The record is from RNAcentral.